AUGUGCCAAUGGGCUUCUCAUGUUAAGAAACACUCAUCAUACCUAAUGACUAUAGAAAUAUCAAUUGAUGCAAGUAUAUGCUUGCUUGCCAGUACCAUGAAAUCUCCAGACGUGGAAGCUAUGAGACGUCAUCAUCAUCACCUUCGUCAGCUUCAGUCACCAUCGUCAUCUUCCGCAACUCCUCAUCAACAAAUCUCCACCGAAUCAGCGCAUCAACCAUAUUCAUCGCACUUUAUUCCUGUUUAG
Molecule: non-coding RNA, 246 nt
Organism: Vicia faba (fava bean)
Lineage: Eukaryota; Viridiplantae; Streptophyta; Magnoliopsida; Fabales; Fabaceae
Source: the annotation of a GenBank genome assembly